RNA transcript from Nannospalax galili (Upper Galilee mountains blind mole rat), 1586 nucleotides. It is a transcript of the gene named tubulin beta-7 chain pseudogene, with no coding region annotated. Lineage: Eukaryota; Metazoa; Chordata; Mammalia; Rodentia; Spalacidae. The transcript has a single exon. The record is from RefSeq and is a predicted model, not a curated record.
CUUGCAUCUCGCCGCUCCAGCCUCCGGGGCCACGUUCCAUUCUUUCAGCCCGCGACCAGCCCAGAAAAAAAAAAAAUCCUUAUUAAUAUAUUUUCUUGCUCGGUACAUACCUUGAAGCGAGCAAAAAUUUGUUGCAGUCAACCGUAACCAUGAGGGAAAUCGUGCACAUCCAGGCCGGCCAGUGUGGCAACCAGAUCGAUGCCAAGUUCUGGGAGGUGAUCAGCGAUGAGCACGGCAUCGACCCCACCGGUACCUACCACGGGGACAGCGACCUGCAGCUGGAUCGCAUCUCGGUGUACUACAACGAAGCCACAGGCGCCAAGUAUGUUCCUCGAGCUAUCCUGGUGGAUCUAGAACCUGGGACCAUGGACUCUGUUCGCUCAGGUCCUUUUGGCCAGAUCUUCAGACCAGACAACUUUGUUUUUGGUCAGUCCGGGGCAGGUAACAACUGGGCCAAGGGCCACUACACAGAGGGGGCGGAGCUGGUCGACUCUGUCCUGGAUGUGGUACGGAAGGAGGCCAAGAGCUGUGACUGCCUGCAGGGCUUCCAGCUGACCCACUCGCUGGGUGGAGGCACUGGGUCUGGAAUGGGCACCCUGCUCAUCAGCAAGAUCUGAGAAGAGUACCCUGACCGCAUCGUGAACACCUUCAGCCUGGUGCCCUCACCCAAAGUGACCGACACAGUGGUGGAGCCCUAUAAUGCCACCCUCUCCGUCCAUCAGCUGGUAGAGAACACUGAUGAGACCUACUGCAUUGACAACUCAGCCACUAUGAGCGGCGUCACCACCUGCCUGUGCUUCCCUGGCCAGCUCAAUGCUGACCUCCGCAAGCUGGCAGUUAACAUGGUGCCCUUCCCACGGCUCCACUUCUUCAUGCCUGGCUUUGCUCCUCUCACCAGCUGUGGAAGCCAGCAGUAUCGGGCCCUCACCGUGCCUGAACUCACCCAGCAGGUCUUCGAUGCCAAAAACAUGAUGGCUGCCUGUGACCCCUUUGCCCCCAUGCCAUGGCCGGUACCUCACCGUGGCCGCUGUCUUCCGUGGGCGCAUGUCCAUGAAGGAGGUGGACGAGCAGAUGCUGAAUGUGCAAAAUAAGAACAGCAGCUACUUCGUGGAAUGGAUCCCCAACAACGUCAAGACCGCUGUCUGUGACAUCCCUCCACGUGGCCUCAAGAUGGCUGUCACCUUCAUUGGCAACAGCACAGCCAUCCAGGAGCUCUUCAAGCGCAUCUCCGAGCAGUUUACAGCCAUGUUCCGCCGGAAGGCUUUCCUCCACUGGUACACAGGUGAGGGUAUGGACGAGAUGGAGUUCACUGAAGCCGAGAGCAACAUGAACGACCUCGUCUCCGAGUACCAGCAGUACCAGGAUGCCACUGCAGAAGAGGAAGAGGAUUUCGGUGAGGAGGCAGAAGAGGAGGCCUAAAGGCAGAGCCCUGCGUCACCUCAGGCUUCCCAGUUCCCUCAGCUUUCUUCGCCUGCCCCUUUCCUCCUUCAGAAUUUAUUUCUACUGCCUCUGUCCUGGUUUUUUGUUUUGGGGGAUGAAUAGUGCCUGGCACAUAGUAGGCGCUCAAUAAAUAUUUGUUUGUGGAA